This 478-nucleotide ribosomal RNA is filed under the name uncultured bacterium. RNAcentral describes it as "partial 16S ribosomal RNA". It matches the Rfam family "Bacterial small subunit ribosomal RNA", at positions 28 to 523 of the family's 1533-position model. The record is from RNAcentral.
GACGAACGCUGGCGGCGUGCUUAACACAUGCAAGUCGAACGGUAAGGCCCUUCGGGGUACACGAGUGGCGAACGGGUGAGUAACACGUGGGUGAUCUGCCCUGCACUUCGGGAUAAGCCUGGGAAACUGGGUCUAAUACCGGAUAGGACUCCUGGCUUCAUGGUUGGGGGUGGAAAGCUUUCGCGGUGUGUGAUGGGCCCGCGGCCUGUCCGCUUGUUGGUGGGGUAAUGGCCUACCAAGGCGACGACGGGUAGCCGGUCUGAGAGGGUGACCGGUCACACUGGGACUGAGAUACGGCCCAGACUCCUACGGGAGGCAGCAGUGGGGAAUAUUGCACAAUGGGCGCAAGCCUGAUGCAGCGACGCCGCGUGAGGGAUGACGGCCUUCGGGUUGCAAACCUCUUUCAGCUAUGACGAAGCGCAAGUGACGGUAGUAGCAGAAGAAGGACCGGCCAACUACGUGCCAGCCGCCGCGGUAA